AGCACUGUGGCUUAGCAGGUAAAGCUGCUGCCUGCGAUGCAGCAUCCCAUAUGGGUGCGGGUUUGAAUCCCGGCUGUCCCA
This 81-nucleotide transfer RNA is filed under the name Oryctolagus cuniculus (rabbit). It matches the Rfam family "tRNA". From Rfam's summary of the family: Transfer RNA (tRNA) molecules are approximately 80 nucleotides in length. Lineage: Eukaryota; Metazoa; Chordata; Mammalia; Lagomorpha; Leporidae. The record is from Rfam by way of RNAcentral.